Molecule: long non-coding RNA, 4252 nt
Organism: Sorex araneus (European shrew)
Lineage: Eukaryota; Metazoa; Chordata; Mammalia; Eulipotyphla; Soricidae
Exons: 4
Source: RefSeq, a predicted model, not a curated record
UUCUCUGCGCCCCCGGGACUGCACGGAACCGGUCAAUCAACCAAUUAUCGACCCAGGCCCGUGGCUUCCGGCGAGGCGCGGCAGGCUGCUCCUCCUAAGGCCAUCUGGAACCUUCCCAAGGCAUCGUCCGCACCGCGGGACGCGCGCGCCCCCCAGCGGACGCCGGCGGGAUCGGCGCGCGAGGCGUGAGGGCUCAGAACAUUCUUGCAUAGUCGUGGCAUCCAUUUCGCCUUCAGAAAUGACACGUGAGGGGCGGGAGCGAUAGCACGGUGGCGCUGCUCCUCCUGCUGGCCCUCGGCACUUUCCUCAUCUGGAGGAACUGGCGGCUGAAGAGCGUCAACAGCAUCAACUUCGACAACCCGGUGUACCAGAAGACCACGGAGGACGAGGUUUGCAUCUGCAGCGCCCAGGAAGGCUACAGCUACCCCUCGAGACAGAUGGUCAGCCUGGAAGAGGACACGCCCUGAGCCACUGUGUCCAGCCUCCUGGGUGAGGAAGAGGAAGAGGAAGAAGAAGAUUCCCCAGUGAUCCCUGGAAGAUCACUCCCUGUUUCCUGUUACACACCCCAGGAGUGCCUGGGAUUGAACCUAGUCGGCCAUGAGCAAGACUAGGCUCUUCCCUUUGAGCCAGAAAAGUUCUGAGCCUACUUUGCUGUCUCUCUGACAAAGCCCUCGGGAAAGGUCUUAUGGUCCACCCCCACGCACCAUCACCCCACAUUUCUGUCUUUUUUUUCCUAGUGAAUCACCGUGAGAUAGUUACAAAGCUUUCCUGUUUGAGCUUCAGCCAUAUGAUGAUCAAACACCCAUCCCUCUACCAGUGCACAUUUUUCACCACCAAUGUCCCAGUAUUUCUCCCUGUCGCAGUUCUCACCCUGCCUCUAUGUCAAUUUCCCCCAUACUCUCCCUCUCUACUUCUGCACCCCACAUUUCUGAGGGUGCCCCAACACUCUUCUACAAGGAGAAGGGCAUGAAAGCAAGAAAAAAUUCAGGACCCCCCCCAAGCUGGGGUGAGGGAAUCCUCCAUCAAGGGACUGAGGGUCCUUUUUUCCUCUCUCUCUCUCUCUCUCUCUCUCUCUUCUUUUUGUUUGUUUGUUUGUUUAUGGUUUGGGGGCCACACCCAGCGAUGCUCAGGGGGUACUCCUGGUUCUGUACUCUGAAAUCACUCCUGGUUCUUCUGGGGGACUGUAUGGGGGUUCAAACGAACUGGGUCCUAUGAAUGCAAGGCAAGAGCCCUAAUAGCUCUGCUCCAGCUGCAGCGGCCAAAGCUGCGUGCUUGAUCCUUAAUGAGCCCAUACUUAACAUUGAAGCAAAGAAAAGGGCUGGAACUCUUAAACGUGGGAAAGUCGGGCCGCGGUAGUUCUGCCGAAAAUCCACGAGAUGGCGCUGUGAGUGUUUCCGUCCCUCCCCAGGCCCAUUUCUCUAAGAAACUUCCACUCUAGGUUUGCUUCAACGUUAAGUAUGGGGUAAUUAAGGAUCAAGCACGCAUCUUGGACUGGUGCAGUAGGAGAACUAUGUGGGUGCUUGUCUUUCACGUGGGUCACCAGGGUUUGAUUCCCGACAUCCAGACUUUUAGGGGAGUACAUAGCUGAAUCCUCUCUGGGGGCUCAGGGGGUAACCCCAGCUUUUUUCUAGGGACCAUAAGGGGUGCAGAGGAUUGAACAGCCUGGUCUCCCACAAGCAAGGCAAGGUUAUUUUCUUUUAUUUUUUUGUUCUCUUCGCUUUGAACAAGAAAACAUCUGAACCCGCAUUGCUGUGUCUGUGAUGGAGCCCUUUGGGAAUAUUUCCUGUUAUGGUGAACCCUGUACCCCAUCACACCACAUUCUAAGGGUGCCUCAGCCCUCUUCUACAAGGAGGAGGGGCCAUGAAAGCAAGAUAAAACUCAGACCCCCUCUCCAAGUCGGGGUGAGGGAAUCCUUCAUCAAGGAACUGAGGCUGCUUUUUUCCUCUCUCUUGUUUGUUUUUUUUUUUUGUUUAUGGCUUGGGGCCACACCCAGAGAUGCUCAUGGGUACUCCUGGCUUUGUUUUCUGAAAUCACUCCUGGUCCUACUGGGGGACCGUAUGGGGAGCCUACAAAUGAACCAGGGUUCUGUGAAUGCAGGGCAAGAGCCCUAACCGCUCUGCUCCGGCUGCAGCAGGCGAUGCUGCGUGCUUGAUCCUUAAUUACCCCAUACUUAACGUUGAAGCAAAGAAAAGGGCUGGAACUCUUAAGUGUGGGCAAGUCGGGCCACGGCAGUUCCACCGGGAUGCCACGAGAUGGCACUGUGGGGAGUUUCCAUCCUCCCCAGGCCCAUUUCUCUAAGAAAUUUCCACCCUCGGGUUUGCUUCAGUGUUAGGUAUGGGGUAAUUAAGGAUCAAGCACGCAGCUUUGACAGUUGCAGUGAUAGGAGAGUUGUGUGGGUGCUUGUCUUUCACACGGGUGACUUGGAUUCGAUUCCUGCCAUCCAGACUUUUAGGGGAGUACAUAGAUGAUUCUUUAGUAUGGGGUACCGGUGAAUUUACCCGAGUCCCCCAAAUUCAAGACAAGAGCCUUAACCGCUCUACUGUUGUCACAUGACCCUAGGCUGCGUGCUUAACCCGUAUUUACCUCUUACUUAACAAUGAAGCAAACCCAAGGGUGGAAAUUUCUUAGAGAAACGGGCCUGGGGAGGGUAGGAAAUGCCCACAGCGCCAUCACGUGGCGUUUCGGAGGAACUGCGUGGCCCAACUUUCCCACGCUUAAGAUUUCCAGCCCUUUUCUUUGCUUCAAUGUUAAGUAUGGGCUUAACAUUAAUUAAGGAUCAAGCACGCAACCUAGGUUCCUGGAUCGAAAACUGAGCCAGGAGGGAGCUUGCCUGGUAUGGGGCGGCCCGGGUUCUAUCCCUGCACCCAUACGUUCCCCUGCGCCUGGUCAGGAAUGAUUCCUGAGUGCAGAGUCAGGAGUAACCCCGGAAUAUCGCUGGGUAUGGUCCCAAAGCAAAAACAAACAGAAGCCUGUCAUGGCGGAUUUCUUCACGCCAAGUUUGGGGGCUACUGAGCUGAAUCUUGCUUCCACCAUCUUCCUCCAUGUAAAACUGUGAAGGCUGCACCCCCAGAAAUGUGGGAUGAUGGAAUGUGGGGGGUGACCAGGACAGGAACCAUUUGCGAACAGGGGCUUAGAGGGAGAGAUUCUACUGCGGGCAAAGCGCUCGAUACGCUGCUGGGUUCAAUCCCUGGCACCGGGUCACCCCAUGCGAGGCAAGGACGCCCCUGAGGCGGCCUGCUUGAUCCUAGUGACCCGCAGGUUAACGUGGAAGCUUAAACCCAAGGCGCAGGCAAGUCGGACCAUGGCUCUUCCCAUGAUGUACCACGAGAGGGCGCUGUGGGGCUUUUCCAUUCCUCCCAGGGAAGGUUCUCUAAGAAAUGUCCACCCCUGGUCCUGACGUCCCUCCAGAAACUGCUACAGCUCCCCAGGACCCUCAGAAUUUCUGCAGUGGGGAACCCCAUCCUCACCCACCGCCGAGUCCUCCAUAGUGAGAAUUAGUGAUUGCGGGCAAGGAACUUUCUUGUUUCUUGCCAACAUGGACCAGUCCCCCAGACCACCUAGUGUCCCCCGAGCGCCCCUGAUGUUCUGCUGUGGCCAUUGACACCAAUCCCCAAGAUACUGAAGCCAGAACCACGUGGAGCUCAGGGUGGGUCAUAGCCUUCUCUGCACAGAGACCUGGGGUCCUGGAGGGCCGGAAUCCGGCUUGGUCUCUUGUAGGAAAAGAGCAUCAUCUUUGUACUGUCUUGAACCUGAAACUGUAUUUUAUUUUAUUUUUUCCUUUUUGGUCACACCCAGCAAUGCUCAGGGGUUCCUCCUGGCUCUGCACUCAGGAAUUACUCCUGGUGGUGCUCAGGGGACCAUAUGGGAUGCUGGGAAUCGAACCUGGCUCAGCCGUAUGCAAGACAAACGCCCUACUCGCUGUGCUAUCGCUCCAGCCCCUGUAUUUUUUUCAACUUUUGUUUUACAUCCACACUCGUCGAGACUCCUGGCUGACUUCUGGCUCAGGGAACCAUCCUUGGUGCUUAUGGGAACUAUGUGGGGUGCCACAAACCGAGUAUUGCACAAAGGCAAGCACCCUACUUGCUAUACUCUCUGUCCCCCUUCACUUAGUCUUUUAUCAGUAUUGUGGUUUUGGGGGCCGACCCGGGUUCGAUUCCCAGCAUCCCAUAUGGUCCCCUGAGCACCACCAGGAGUAAUUCCUGAGUGCAGAGCCAGGCCAGGAGUAAGCCCUGUACAUUGCCGGGUGUGACCC